This 460-nucleotide ribosomal RNA is filed under the name uncultured bacterium. RNAcentral describes it as "partial 16S ribosomal RNA". It matches the Rfam family "Bacterial small subunit ribosomal RNA", at positions 338 to 795 of the family's 1533-position model. The record is from RNAcentral.
CCUACGGGCGGCAGCAGUGAGGAAUAUUGGUCAAUGGACGAGAGUCUGAACCAGCCAAGUAGCGUGAAGGAUGACUGCCCUAUGGGUUGUAAACUUCUUUUAUAUGGGAAUAAAAUGUUCCACGUGUGGGAUUUUGUAUGUACCAUAUGAAUAAGGAUCGGCUAACUCCGUGCCAGCAGCCGCGGUAAUACGGAGGAUCCGAGCGUUAUCCGGAUUUAUUGGGUUUAAAGGGAGCGUAGGUGGAUUGUUAAGUCAGUUGUGAAAGUUUGCGGCUCAACCGUAAAAUUGCAGUUGAAACUGGCAGUCUGGAGUACAGUAGAGGUGGGCGGAAUUCGUGGUGUAGCGGUGAAAUGCUUAGAUAUAACGAAGAACUCCGAUUGCGAAGGCAGCUCACUGGACUGCAACUGACACUGAGGCUCGAAAGUGUGGGUAUCAAACAGGAUUAGAUACCCCAGUAGUC